Molecule: ribosomal RNA, 37 nt
Filed under: Epaltes cunninghamii
Lineage: Eukaryota; Viridiplantae; Streptophyta; Magnoliopsida; Asterales; Asteraceae
Description: partial 18S ribosomal RNA
Source: RNAcentral
CNAAGUUUCCGUAGGUGAACCUGCGGAAGGAUCAUUG